RNAcentral lists this small nuclear RNA (158 nucleotides) under Loxodonta africana (African savanna elephant). RNAcentral's name for it is "U1 spliceosomal RNA (ENSLAFG00000028482.1)". It matches the Rfam family "U1 spliceosomal RNA". From Rfam's summary of the family: U1 is a small nuclear RNA (snRNA) component of the spliceosome (involved in pre-mRNA splicing). Its 5' end forms complementary base pairs with the 5' splice junction, thus defining the 5' donor site of an intron. Lineage: Eukaryota; Metazoa; Chordata; Mammalia; Proboscidea; Elephantidae. The record is from RNAcentral.
ACACUUACCUGGCAGAGGAGAUACCCUGAUCACUCAUUUUCCCAGUGGGAGGCUCAUCCAUUGCACUUCGGACAUGCUGCCCCCAGCGAUUCCUCAAAUGUGGAGAGCACGAGGGCAAAGUUGGUGGUAGUUAAGAAAUGCAUUCACGCUUUCCCCAC